RNAcentral lists this ribosomal RNA (410 nucleotides) under uncultured bacterium. RNAcentral's name for it is "bacterial SSU rRNA". It matches the Rfam family "Bacterial small subunit ribosomal RNA", at positions 355 to 776 of the family's 1533-position model. The record is from RNAcentral.
UCGAGAAUCUUCCACAAUGGACGAAAGUCUGAUGGAGCGACGCCGCGUGAUUGAUGAAGUCCCUCUGGGACGUAAAGAUCUUUUAUGAGGGAAGAAGUUUAUUGACCGUACCUCAUGAAUAAGAGGCUCCCAAUCUCGUGCCAGCAGGAGCGGUAAUACGAGAGCCUCGAGCGUUAUCCGGAAUUAUUGGGCGUAAAGGGUGCGUAGGUGGUUCUGUUAGUCUUUUGUUAAAGCCCCGGGCUUAACCUGGGAAGCGCAAAAGAAACGGCAGAACUUUGAAAGUGCGAGGGGUGUACGGAACUCUAGGUGUAGGGGUGAAAUCCAUUGAUAUCUAGGGGAACACCAAAAGCGAAAGCAGUACACUGGCGCAUAUUUGACACUGAAGCACGAAAGCGUGGGUAGCGAAUGGG